AUUUCCAUCGACCUCAGCACUCACCAGCGAUUAUGUAUGUGCAGAACAUCCACCGAAUCUGCCAGCUCCUCCUCCCGACCAAGGAAAAGCACUGUGUUCA
This is a long non-coding RNA of Ornithodoros turicata, 100 nucleotides long. RefSeq lists it as uncharacterized. The record is from RefSeq and is a predicted model, not a curated record. The transcript is spliced from 3 exons. NCBI's taxonomy places the organism in Eukaryota, Metazoa, Arthropoda, Arachnida, Ixodida, Argasidae.